AAAAAAAAAAGUGGAAAUCAAGGGAGGAUAAACAGUCUGAUAAUUCAUUUGAAUACUGUUUCGCACUCCCGGGGCGUCUCAUUCUCAUUGUGAGAAGAGGCGCACCAAGAGCGUACACGCUGGGACCCGAAAGAUGGUGAACUAUGCCUGGUCAGGACGAAGUCAGGGGAAACCCUGAUGGAGGUCCGUAGCGAUUYUGACGUGCAAAUCGAUCGUCGGAACUGGGUAUAGGGGCGAAAGACUAAUCGAACCAUCUAGUAGCUGGUUCCCUCCGAAGUUUCCCUCAGGAUAGCUGGUGCUCAUCAUACACGAGUUUCAUCCGGUAAAGCGAAUGAUUAGAGGCAUUGGGGUCGAAACGACCUCAACCUAUUUUCAAACUUUAAAUGGGUGAGAUCUCCGGCUUGCUUAAAUAUUUUGGAAAUUUCAAUUUUCAUUAUAUGAAGCCGUGAGAUAAUUUAAAAUCGGAUCAGAGUACCAAGUGGGCCAUUUUUGGUAAGCAGAACUGGUGCUGUGGGAUGAACCAAACGUUGAGUUAAAGCGCCUAAAUCGACGCUUAUGGGAUACC
This 565-nucleotide ribosomal RNA is filed under the name Mecopus bispinosus. RNAcentral describes it as "eukaryotic LSU rRNA". It matches the Rfam family "Eukaryotic large subunit ribosomal RNA", at positions 721 to 1213 of the family's 3401-position model. The record is from RNAcentral. Lineage: Eukaryota; Metazoa; Arthropoda; Insecta; Coleoptera; Curculionidae.